AACACAGGAAGAUGGUGGCUGAGUUGGGACUUUCUUUGGACUUCCCUGCACCAGGAGAAAGUCUAAGGUCUUUCUGCCGGGCACUCUCCUUUCCGUCGUGUUCACCUUCCGCAACUUGGCGUGGAGAUGGGCAUCUCCAAGAGAUGGGGAAGCAAGAGUGCGAUGGCCUAGAUUGCCACCUGGUUUGGGAAGGAAGAUGAGAGAAGAGCCGAUGGUCCUUUGGGGCAGGUGUGUUGUGGACCAAGUGCCUGUCAGUCUGAAUCCUAAAGUCCCACAAGAUCUUGAGUUUCUCAUUCUCUAAAACUUUCUCAACCUGAUGUUCCCAGUGGUUUUUGCUGUACUCAAAUCCAAACUUCUGGCACAAUUUCCAGUGAAUGAUUUUAGCAACGCGGUCAUGGCGUUCUCAGCCUUUGAAACCAAGCCAGUCUUCUUUCAUAUUUAAUUACCCAGGCGGCUGAUACCACCAGCAUUAUAUCAAGAAGCAUUGGACUAAGGACUAAGGAACGAAGGUGGCCUGGCACAGGAAGGCAAGCUGGGGAGAGGGGAGAUGGUGAAGGACCUGGAAUCCUGAAUUCCCCGUGUUGAGAGGCACAAGGUUGGCGCCUCUAACUCAGCUUUGGUUUGUAGGCAGUGUAGUUAGCUGAUUGUGUAUCUCCCCAGCAAUCACUAGCUUCACUGUCAACAAAACAAUCCGCAGAAUUCUUCAAUCUCCAGGAAGCUUCCUAGCUGGAACCCAAGGAAUUACACCCAUUAUUCAGAUCUCCUGAUCCGUGUUAAGAGGUUACCAACUCAACAGCGAGGAAGACAACCAACCAGUCGUAAGAAAACGCUGGAGCAAAGAAGUAGUGGAGACACUCCCAGCUUCUGCAUAGUUUUGUGAUGGCCACACAGUGAGGACAGUUGGACAAAUUCCAGGGUUCUCUUGUGGCAGAUUGGUGGCAGAACCUAUCAUGGAAAGCUGGUAUGAAGAGCAGCUGUUGACUUCAAGGCCCUACAUGAAGUGAAAUGAAGAACAGGUCCCAAGCCAACAAGAACUUCCAAAAGCCCAUGGGUGGGACUCCUGCCCUGAUGGGGAAUUGGGUGAUGGUCCCGCUAAUGGGUACCAGAUGGUGAAGUUCAGAAAGCAGAAUCUAGAGGAGCUUUGGCUAGUCUCUUGCCCUCUGCAAUUUUGUCUGGGUAGCAUGAAAUGAGUAUCUUAAAGACAGAAAAUCCAGAUUUCAUCCAUUUGGAAACCACUGAGGGAGCCUGGAUGAUCUCUAAAGACAAAGAAUUGGGUGGGGGGAGAGAAAUUAGGCCCUGAGCUUAAACAUCAGCCUUGUCACCAGGCAGUGUAGUUAGCUGAUUGACCAAGGUAACAGUCGCUAACAACACAGCCAAGUGAAAAGGUGGCCUCUCCCUGCAGUUUUUUGCAAAUUUGCUGGAUGGAUUAGUCAACGUCUACAGGUUGAAGGGUUGAAGGCACCCUGUGUAGGACUGUAAAGGAGAGUUCUUCAACCCCAGCGGCUUUAAGAGGGUGGGGGGACUUCAGCAUAGCUGGCUGGGGAAUUCUGGGAAUUGAAGUCCACCCAUCUUCAAGUCUCUAAAGUUGAGAAACAUUGUACAGCGCCGAUCAGCUGAUCCCACCUUGAUGUUCUCCAAAGCAAGGAUCUCCAACCUUGGCAACUUUAAGACUUGUGGACUUCAACUCCUAGAAUUCCUCAGCCAGCUUUGCUUCUAAGAGUUGUGCAAGAAAAUCACCAAGCUCAGAGAGCGCUAAGGACCCCCACAGUUGCUCUCUCUUCCUCCUCCUCCUCCUCCUCCUCCUCCUCCUCCUCCUCCUCCUUCCUCUUGUUGAGUUGAAGUCCACAAGUCUUAAAGUUGCCAAGGUUGGAGACCCCUGCCCUGCUCCAAAGCUUUUGAGGCUGCUCUUCUCAACAUUGCCUAACCAACAUAGCUACUAUAGGGAUAAAUUCCAGAGAGUAAGUUUUAUCUCAGCCCUCAUCAACAAUCACUUUACAUAAUAGGAAAUCCCUGUUCUGAUUUAUUAACUUUUCAUUCGUUUAGACAGCAGUUCCCUGUCCAGAUGGGUGGUAAUUAAAUUCCUGGUUGAUCAAUGUGGGUCAUUUACCGGCAACUGCUGUGGCUUGAUAAGAGUGCUGACAGCCCAUAAUAUUCAGCUGACGGUCAGUUCCUAAAGGGAUUUGAUAUGAACGGAAAAGACAGAAGACAAAUGAAAGAGAUGAGUAAUUCUGCUUUCCUUCCCCCGUUAGCCAGCAAAGCAGCGAAAAUUAAGGCUAUGCGAAUGGAAAGAACGAAGGAUUUUUUAAAAAUGUUUUGGAAAAAAGGGUUUUAGUUUAAGAAGACUUCUCUUCAAGACCUCCUCUGUUGUUCAUUUGAGAUCUCUCUCCAAUAAAUGCCAACAUUAAAAGUC
Molecule: long non-coding RNA, 2410 nt
Organism: Pantherophis guttatus
Lineage: Eukaryota; Metazoa; Chordata; Lepidosauria; Squamata; Colubridae
Source: RefSeq, a predicted model, not a curated record